This 191-nucleotide small RNA is filed under the name Mytilus galloprovincialis (Mediterranean mussel). Lineage: Eukaryota; Metazoa; Mollusca; Bivalvia; Mytilida; Mytilidae. The record is from RNAcentral.
AGUUUCUUGCACAACACAGUUUGACCUCCAAAACUAUGUCUCAGAUUUUUCACUCUCGUAAAUUUUCAAUUAAGUUUGCAACAUCAAAUCAUAAGAGAUAACUAAGUUCAAUUGGGUAUAAAAUUUGUUCUAUUGAUGUUUUUGGGAAUCUGAGACAGUUUUGGAGGUCAAGCUGUGUUGUACAAGAAUCU